UAAAAAACAGAUCACAAUUAAACAUGCAAUUAGAAAAAACAAAUGAAGUUCAUAUUAACAUUUUUAUUGAAUGCCAAUUUGUCUAAAAAUCAAGGAGUUUUUUUUUUAUAUUUAAUUUAUUAGCAUAGCAGAACCUUCUAAUGAGGUUAGCAGUAGUAAUGGUCCCUGAAGAAAUGUAAUGCUUAGCGUUAUAUAUGGUGCGUUCACUGAAAAGCUGAAGAUUGGAUGAUUUAUCUGUGCAUUCAAAGUUCUUGUCUGAAUUGAGCUGAGAUGCUUCUGUUUCCACUGAUCGUCUUGCCGAUGUUUCUACCUUGUGCCUAUAUUACAUCCAGAAAAAGUGGCUUGGAGGGACUGUCUGAUGUUUAGGAGUGACGGUGAUCACACACUGGUUGCAGAAUAAACGCACAAAGUACAAGGGAUUGACGUACAAAGGCUCCCGUUUGUGAAUAUACAGCAAUGAACACCGUAAUUGGUGGAAACAUCCAGAAGGUCAUUGCUAAUGCAACUCACCUUUAUGGUGGACAAAUUAACACGAUAACCCGCUUGAACGUUACCAGGAAUGAUCUGGUCUGAAAAGAGUAUCGACUUUUUGAUCUGGACUGACUCCAGCAUACUGUGGAAAUGUUUAUCUCCCAUACCAGAUGGACCACAUUUCUGGAGGCGUAGCCCAGAACACCUGAGGCUGCCAGUCCUGAUUGUUGAUGCUUAUCGCCAUUGUUUUUGCUUUUGUUCUCUUAAACAUCUUACUGCAAAAUUAAAUCUGAAGACUUUCGGGACAUAUCCUAUAGGAAACGAAGUUAAAACGGCAAACUUGACUUCAUGUUAGUCCACAUUUGAUCUUAAAAACAGAAAAUUUCUUUGUGCCUCUAAACAAGAAUGAACCAGCAUCAGUUAGAACAAAGAAAAAUUGGAAAAUGAAGAUUAACCUCAAAGUGAGACAUGUUCUGCGUUUCACACAUUUAUGAUCUGGUUUAAUAGUAACGUUCAUAGUACAUAAACAAAUGCAACAUAUAAUUAUUAUUUCCUGAACAUGGCCUGUAUAAUUAUGGUUCCUGUUGUUCUUGUUCCUUUUGUGCUAACUAAUCUAACCGGUUGCUGGAUCUCGAGGAAAGCUUUUUCUAUAUAUAUAUAUAUAUAUACACAUACAUACAAACGUAGAAAAUGCUGAAAUCCUCCUUUAACCCUUGAUUCACCUUUAAGUUGACCUUACACUUUUUAUCUAAUAAUAAUGAUGAAUCAUUUCACUGCAUUGAAUCGUUUCAACAACUUCAGCUCCAUCUAUUAAAAUGUUUUUCAUAUUUAAAACAAAUAUUUUCUGUUUUAAAGUCUGAUUUUUUUUUUUUUUUUUUAAGGAGAAAUCCCCAAUAUAUACUAAAAAUAAAGUUUUCAGCAUUAAUCCACUCGAUGUGGCACAUUUUCAAUUAAAUAAAAACUUUAUUUAUCCCAAAAGAAAGUUAAAUUGAUUCACAGCAUCCAAUUAUCUUCAGAGUCAUUGUGCGUAGGAAACAUCUCCAGUAGCAGUCAGUCUUUCAACGAUUUUUAAGAGGCUUCUGACUGAAAACUGUUGCGUUUUUUUUUUUUUUUUUUUUUAGUUCUCACUUUCCAGGUAGCAGA
This is a long non-coding RNA of Poecilia latipinna (sailfin molly), 1614 nucleotides long. RefSeq lists it as uncharacterized. The record is from RefSeq and is a predicted model, not a curated record. NCBI's taxonomy places the organism in Eukaryota, Metazoa, Chordata, Actinopteri, Cyprinodontiformes, Poeciliidae. The transcript has 2 exons.